AUUGAACGCUGGCGGCAUGCCUUACACAUGCAAGUCGAACGGCAGCACGGGAGCAAUCCUGGUGGCGAGUGGCGAACGGGUGAGUAAUGUAUCGGAACGUGCCCAGUCGUGGGGGAUAACGUAGCGAAAGCUACGCUAAUACCGCAUACGAUCUAUGGAUGAAAGCGGGGGAUCGCAAGACCUCGCGCGACUGGAGCGGCCGAUAUCAGAUGAGGUAGUUGGUGGGGUAAAGGCUCACCAAGCCGACGAUCUGUAGCUGGUCUGAGAGGACGACCAGCCACACUGGGACUGAGACACGGCCCAGACUCCUACGGGAGGCAGAAGUGGGGAAUUUUGGACAAUGGGCGCAAGCCUGAUCCAGCAAUGCCGCGUGCAGGAUGAAGGCCUUCGGGUUGUAAACUGCUUUUGUACGGAACGAAACGGUGAGCUCUAAUACAGUUUGCUAAUGACGGUACCGUAAGAAUAAGCACCGGCUAACUACGUGCCAGCAGCCGCGGUAA
RNAcentral lists this ribosomal RNA (500 nucleotides) under uncultured bacterium. RNAcentral's name for it is "partial 16S ribosomal RNA". It matches the Rfam family "Bacterial small subunit ribosomal RNA", at positions 30 to 523 of the family's 1533-position model. The record is from RNAcentral.